This 494-nucleotide ribosomal RNA is filed under the name uncultured bacterium. Its description in RNAcentral is "bacterial SSU rRNA". It matches the Rfam family "Bacterial small subunit ribosomal RNA", at positions 8 to 513 of the family's 1533-position model. The record is from RNAcentral.
AGAGUUUGAUCCUGGCUCAGGAUGAACGCUGGCGGCGUGCUUAACACAUGCAAGUCGAACGGGCUCAUAUUGAAACCUAGUGAUUUAUGAGUUAGUGGCGGACGGGUGAGUAACGCGUGGAAAACCUGCCGUAUACUGGGGGAUAACACUUAGAAAUAGGUGCUAAUACCGCAUAAGCGCACAGCUUCGCAUGAAGUGGUGUGAAAAACUCUGGUGGUAUACGAUGGUUCCGCGUCUGAUUAGCUUGUUGGCGGGGUAAUGGCUCACCAAGGCGACGAUCAGUAGCCGGCCUGAGAGGGUGAACGGCCACAUUGGGACUGAGACACGGCCCAAACUCCUACGGGAGGCAGCAGUGGGGAAUAUUGCACAAUGGGGGAAACCCUGAUGCAGCGACGCCGCGUGAGUGAAGAAGUAUUUCGGUAUGUAAAGCUCUAUCAGCAGGGAAGAAAAUGACGGUACCUGAUUAAGAAGCCCCGGCUAACUACGUGCCAGCA